AAAAAAAGGCAGUGGCAGCAUCCUAGCUAAUGAGGUUUAUCCAAGACACGAUUAUUGCUAAUUGAAAACUCUUCUGCAAUGUGUAAGGGCUUUCUUCAUGUACUUGUUCUUUUAUAUUCAAAUUCAUUUAUUUUUGAUGCUUUAAUUCUGAA
RNAcentral lists this small nuclear RNA (152 nucleotides) under Fukomys damarensis (Damara mole-rat). Its description in RNAcentral is "U4 spliceosomal RNA". It matches the Rfam family "U4 spliceosomal RNA". Rfam says of the family: U4 small nuclear RNA (U4 snRNA) is a component of the major U2-dependent spliceosome. The structure of U4 snRNA from yeast and human has been reported. U4 snRNA presents a k-turn RNA motif in the 5p-SL related to recognition of Snu13 protein. The record is from Rfam by way of RNAcentral. Lineage: Eukaryota; Metazoa; Chordata; Mammalia; Rodentia; Bathyergidae.